UCGAAACCUGCACAGCAGAACGACCCGCGAACUCGUUUACCAACCACCGAGGGUUGGGGCUUGCCUCAUCACCCUCGGAGCCGAAACGUGCUGAGAGGCGCGCGACGGCAAGUACCCAAACACCGGCGCGGGUUGCGCCAAGGACUAAGAAAUUCUACCGUGUCCCGCGGCCCUGGGUAACCGGGCGCUGUGGUGAUGGCGYGUUGAAAUAUAAGAAAAUGAACGACUCUCGGCAACGGAUAUCUCGGCUCUCGCAUCGAUGAAGAACGUAGCGAAAUGCGAUACUUGGUGUGAAUUGCAGAAUCCCGUGAACCAUCGAGUCUUUGAACGCAAGUUGCGCCCGAAGCCAUCCGGCCGAGGGCACGUCUGCCUGGGCGUCACGCAUCGCGUCGCCCCUCUCCCUCCAAUUCGGAGCGGGCAGAGGGGCGGAGUAUGGCCCCCCGUGCGCCCCCGCGCGCGGCUGGCCUAAACACGGAGCCCGUGGCCGCGAGCGCCGCGACGUUUGGUGGUUGAAUCUCGARCAUCGCGUCGCGUCGUAGUGUACUCGGAUAGCUCGAAGGACCCUUAGGCGUAGCAGCCUACCCUUGCGACCCC
Molecule: ribosomal RNA, 594 nt
Filed under: Eriogonum abertianum
Lineage: Eukaryota; Viridiplantae; Streptophyta; Magnoliopsida; Caryophyllales; Polygonaceae
Description: eukaryotic LSU rRNA
Rfam family: 5.8S ribosomal RNA (bases 225-380)
Source: RNAcentral